This 419-nucleotide ribosomal RNA is filed under the name bacterium. Its description in RNAcentral is "partial 16S ribosomal RNA". It matches the Rfam family "Bacterial small subunit ribosomal RNA", at positions 355 to 776 of the family's 1533-position model. The record is from RNAcentral.
UGGGGGAUAUUGCACAAUGGGCGAAAGCCUGAUGCAGCGACGCCGCGUGGGGGAUGAAGGCCUUCGGGUUGUAAACUUCUUUUGCUCUGAACAAGGCGCACCAUGGGGUGUGUUGAGUGUAGGGGUUGAUUAGCGCCGGCUAACUACGUGCCAGCAGCCGCGGUAAUACGUAGGGCGCGAGCGUUGUCCGGAAUUAUUGGGCGUAAAGGGCUUGUAGGUGGCUGGUUGCGUCUGUCGUGAAAGCUCAUGGCUUAACUGUGGGUUUGCGGUGGGUACGGGCUGGCUUGAGUGCAGCAGGGGAGGCUGGAAUUCCUGGUGUAGCGGUGGAAUGCGCAGAUAUCAGGAGGAAUACCGGUGGCGAAGGCGGGUCUCUGGGCUGUUACUGACACUGAGGAGCGAAAGCAUGGGGAGCGAACAGG